AGUCAGGCAAGGGAGGCUGAGUGGUGGUGUGAGUCAGCCUGUAACCAACAGAGCCAAGCAUGGGGUCCCUUCUCAGGGAGACAGCACCUGGUGAAGGGCUCCACCUCUGUCUACGUCAUUCAGCACUUCAAUGGUCUUCACAGGGAGUAGGGGGGGGUCGGCCUACUCCAUACCCCAAAUAACCAGGCUGAAAUGCCCUGGGCUGUUCCCUUAGAGUGAAGACCUACAGAAAGAAGGCAACCCAGCCGGUACAGAGCAUGGACGACGUGAACCCAGUCGAGGGUGUAGGCUCUGGGGAGACUCCGUGUCACAGAGUAGUUGUGUGGAGUUUUUAAAACAGCACCUGUCACAUAGUGAGCACAAGACUCAUUACUACGGAUAAGACUCCUUCCCUCCUCUAACAAUCGCAUCAGCACCAGUUCUGGACAGACUCCCCUUCACACCACCCAACCCCUGCUGAAGUAAGCCCCAUCUCAAGAGAGGAACCAGAGCUCCACUAUGCUUUCCUCAGAUUUCACAAGCCUCAUAAACAAAAAGGCACCAACACCGAGUGCGCAGAGAUCAAGACACACAAGUGAGGAAUUAUUUCUCACAGUUCUGGAGGCUGGAAGCCUAAGAUCAACAAGUCAGCAGGGCUAGUUCCCUCUGAGGCCUCUCUCCUGGGCUUGCAGACAGCUUUCUCCUCCCUGAGUCCUCACAUGGUCUUCCCUCUUCUUACAAAGAUUUCUUCUUAUAACGAUACCAGAUGUAUUGGAUUAGGGCCACGCUAAUGACCUUAUUUUCACUGAUAUACUUCUUUAAAGACGCUAUCUCCAAUACACUCACAUCCUGAGGUACUGGGGAUUAGAACUUCAACUUAUUCAUUUUAUGAUUUUUCAGCCCAUAAUACUCAGACUCCUGUUAUUUUUAAAUUAAUGGCCUUCUUCUCAAGGGAGUGAAUCCCCUAGUAUAUGUGGAUGACCACAGGACUUGUGUCCAAAAGAACUGAAAUCCAUCUAUGCCACUCAUUGACUGAGUCCCUUUGUCUCUCUGUGGUUCACUUUACUGUUCUGCAAAGCAAAGGAAUCAUCCCUCUAACCAGAUUAUUGUGAAAGAGCCAUGAAAAUAUACAAAAGAACAGCUAACAACAGUCCUGAUGUGAAGCUUUUUAUGAACUCUGAACCCAGGCUUGUGUCAAGACUUUUGUUGGCUGGUU
Diceros bicornis minor is the source of this 1195-nucleotide long non-coding RNA. RefSeq lists it as uncharacterized. The transcript has 3 exons. Lineage: Eukaryota; Metazoa; Chordata; Mammalia; Perissodactyla; Rhinocerotidae. The record is from RefSeq and is a predicted model, not a curated record.